GGGGUUGUGGCUCAGCGGUAGAGCACUCGCCUAGCACAUUGCGAGGUGCUGGGUUCAAUCCUCAGCACCA
This 70-nucleotide transfer RNA is filed under the name Ictidomys tridecemlineatus (thirteen-lined ground squirrel). RNAcentral's name for it is "Spermophilus tridecemlineatus (thirteen-lined ground squirrel) tRNA". It matches the Rfam family "tRNA". From Rfam's summary of the family: Transfer RNA (tRNA) molecules are approximately 80 nucleotides in length. Their secondary structure includes four short double-helical elements and three loops (D, anti-codon, and T loops). Lineage: Eukaryota; Metazoa; Chordata; Mammalia; Rodentia; Sciuridae. The record is from Rfam by way of RNAcentral.